UACAGAGGUCCCAAGCGUUGUUCGGAUUCAUUGGGCGUAAAGGGUGCGUAGGUGGCUCCGUAAGUCGGGUGUGAAAUUUCGGAGCUUAACUCCGAAACUGCAUUCGAUACUGCGGUGCUUGAGGACUGGAGAGGAGACUGGAAUUCAUGGUGUAGCAGUGAAAUGCGUAGAGAUCAUGAGGAAGACCAGUGGCGAAGGCGGGUCUCUGGACAGUUCCUGACACUGAGGCACGAAGGCCAGGGGAGCAAACGGG
RNAcentral lists this ribosomal RNA (253 nucleotides) under uncultured bacterium. RNAcentral's name for it is "partial 16S ribosomal RNA". It matches the Rfam family "Bacterial small subunit ribosomal RNA", at positions 524 to 776 of the family's 1533-position model. The record is from RNAcentral.